RNAcentral lists this ribosomal RNA (464 nucleotides) under uncultured bacterium. RNAcentral describes it as "bacterial SSU rRNA". It matches the Rfam family "Bacterial small subunit ribosomal RNA", at positions 30 to 514 of the family's 1533-position model. The record is from RNAcentral.
CGAACGCUGGCGGCGUGCUUAACACAUGCAAGUCGAGCGGUGAACCUCUUCGGAGGGGAUCAGCGGCGAACGGGUGAGUAACACGUGGGCAACCUGCCCCAGACACCGGGAUAACCCAGGGAAACCUGAGCUAAUACCGGAUACUCCGCGCGGAUCGCAUGAUCCGUUCGGGAAAGCUCCGACGGUCUGGGAUGGGCCCGCGGCCUAUCAGCUUGUUGGUGGGGUAACGGCCUACCAAGGCGACGACGGGUAGCUGGUCUGAGAGGACGACCAGCCACACUGGGACUGAGACACGGCCCAGACUCCUACGGGAGGCAGCAGUGGGGAAUAUUGCGCUAAUGCGGGAAACCGUGACGCAGCGACGCCGCGUGGGGGACGAAGGCCCUCGGGUCGUAAACCCCUUUCGCCAGGGACGAAACUGACGGUACCUGGAGAAGAAGUCCCGGCUAACUACGUGCCAGCAG